AUUGAACGCUGGCGGUAGGCCUAACACAUGCAAGUCGAACGGUAACAGGGUGAGGGUUGCUUCUUUGCGGAGGAGAGGGGGAGGGGGGAGUAAUGUAUGUGAAAAUCUAUGAUGGAGGGGGAGAAAAAGUGGAAACGGGAACGAAUAUAGCACAAAGUCGCAACACCAAAGAGCAGGAGCUCCUGGGCUCUUGCCAUAGGGAAUGCCCAGAUGGGAUUAGCUAGUAGGGGGGGUAACGGCGCACCAAGGCAACGAUCCUUAGCUGGUCUGAGAGGAGGAACAGCCACCAUGGAACUGAGAAACGGUCCAGACUCCUACGGGAGGCAGCAGUGGGGAAUAUUGGACAAUGGGCGCAAGCCUGAUGCAGCCAUACCGCGUGUAUGAAGAAGGCCUUCGGGUUGUAAAGUACUUUCAGCGGGAAGGAAGGGCAUCAAGUUAAUACCUCGCCGCACUGACGUUACCCAAAGAAGAAGCACCGGCUAACUUCGUG
RNAcentral lists this ribosomal RNA (490 nucleotides) under uncultured bacterium. Its description in RNAcentral is "partial 16S ribosomal RNA". It matches the Rfam family "Bacterial small subunit ribosomal RNA", at positions 29 to 507 of the family's 1533-position model. The record is from RNAcentral.